ACGGGGUGCAGCAGGCGCGAAAACUUCACAAUGUGCGAAAGCACGAUGAGGGGAUCCCAAGUGCUGGUUCGAAAGAGUCAGCUGUUUCUUUGUCUAAAAAACAGAGAGAGUAAGAGCUGGGUAAGACGGGUGCCAGCCGCCGCGGUAAUACCUGCAGCUCGAGUGGUGAUCGUUAUUAUUGGGCCUAAAACGUCCGUAGCCGGUCUUGUAAAUGCCUGGGUAAAUCGUAUGGCUUAACCAUACGAAUUCCGGGUAGACUGUUAGACUUGAGACCGGGAGAAGCUAGAGGUGCUCCUGGGGUAGAGGUGAAAUUCUGUAAUCCUAGGGGGACCACCAGUGGCGAAGGCGUCUAGCUAGAACGGGUCUGACGGUGAGGGACGAAGCCCUGGGGCGCAAACGGGAUUAGAUACCCCGGUAGUCCAGGGUGUAAACGCUGCUUGCUUGAUGUUAGUCUGGCUCCGAGCCAGAUUAGUGUCGGAGAGAAGUUGUUAAGCAAGCUGCCUGGGAAGUACGGCCGCAAGACUGAAACUUAAAGGAAUUGGCGGGGGAGCAC
RNAcentral lists this ribosomal RNA (553 nucleotides) under uncultured archaeon. RNAcentral's name for it is "bacterial SSU rRNA". It matches the Rfam family "Archaeal small subunit ribosomal RNA", at positions 325 to 879 of the family's 1478-position model. The record is from RNAcentral.